RNAcentral lists this ribosomal RNA (422 nucleotides) under uncultured bacterium. Its description in RNAcentral is "bacterial SSU rRNA". It matches the Rfam family "Bacterial small subunit ribosomal RNA", at positions 355 to 774 of the family's 1533-position model. The record is from RNAcentral.
UAAGGAAUAUUGGACAAUGGAGGCAACUCUGAUCCAGCCAUGCCGCGUGAAGGAAUAAGGCCCUAUGGGUUGUAAACUUCUUUUAGACGGGACAAAACCCCUUUACGUGUAAAGGGUUGAUGGUACUGUCAGAAUAAGCAUCGGCUAACUUCGUGCCAGCAGCCGCGGUAAUAAGAAGGAUGCAAGCGUUGUUCGGAGUUACUGGGCGUAAAGAGUGCGUAGGCGGUGUUCUAAGUUCGGUGUGAAAUCUCCCGGCUUAACUGGGAGGGUGCGCCGAGGACUGGGAAGCUGGAGUGUGGGAAAGGCUGGCGGAAUUCCUGGUGUAGCGGUGAAAUGCGUAGAUAUCAGGAGGAACACCGGCGGUGUAGACGGCUUGCUAGACCAUAACUGACGCUGAGGCACGAAAGCGUGGGUAGCAAACA